UACGUAGGGGGCAAGCGUUGUCCGGAUUUAUUGGGCGUAAAGAGCGUGUAGGCGGCCAGGUAGGUCUGCUGUGAAAACUCGAGGCUUAACCUCGAGAUGUCGGCGGAAACCAUCUGGCUAGAGUCCGGAAGAGGAGAAUGGAAUUCCCGGUGUAGCGGUGAAAUGCGCAGAUAUCGGGAAGAACACCCGUGGCGAAGGCGGUUCUCUAGUACGGUACUGACGCUGAGACGCGAAAGCGUGGGGAGCGAACAGG
This 253-nucleotide ribosomal RNA is filed under the name uncultured bacterium. RNAcentral's name for it is "partial 16S ribosomal RNA". It matches the Rfam family "Bacterial small subunit ribosomal RNA", at positions 524 to 776 of the family's 1533-position model. The record is from RNAcentral.